Molecule: ribosomal RNA, 442 nt
Filed under: uncultured Phyllobacteriaceae bacterium
Lineage: Bacteria; Pseudomonadati; Pseudomonadota; Alphaproteobacteria; Hyphomicrobiales; Phyllobacteriaceae
Description: bacterial SSU rRNA
Rfam family: Bacterial small subunit ribosomal RNA
Source: RNAcentral
UCCUACGGGAGGCAGCAGUGGGGAAUAUUGGACAAUGGGCGCAAGCCCGAUCCAGCCAUGCCGCGUGAGUGAUGAAGGCCCUAGGGUUGUAAAGCUCUUUCACCGGUGAAGAUAAUGACGGUAACCGGAGAAGAAGCCCCGGCUAACUUCGUGCCAGCAGCCGCGGUAAUACGAAGGGGGCUAGCGUUGUUCGGAAUUACUGGGCGUAAAGCGCACGUAGGCGGAUAUUUAAGUUAGGGGUGAAAUCCCAGGGCUCAACCCUGGAACUGCCUCUAAUACUGGGUAUCUCGAGUCCGAGAGAGGUGAGUGGAAUUCCGAGUGUAGAGGUGAAAUUCGUAGAUAUUCGGAGGAACACCAGUGGCGAAGGCGGCUCACUGGCUCGGUACUGACGCUGAGGUGCGAAAGCGUGGGGAGCAAACAGGAUUAGAUACCCGUGUAGUCA